This 484-nucleotide ribosomal RNA is filed under the name uncultured bacterium. Its description in RNAcentral is "partial 16S ribosomal RNA". It matches the Rfam family "Bacterial small subunit ribosomal RNA", at positions 30 to 507 of the family's 1533-position model. The record is from RNAcentral.
AUUGAACGCUGGCGGCAGGCCUAACACAUGCAAGUCGAGCGGAUGAAGGGAGCUUGCUCCUGGAUUCAGCGGCGGACGGGUGAGUAAUGCCUAGGAAUCUGCCUGGUAGUGGGGGAUAACGUCCGGAAACGGGCGCUAAUACCGCAUACGUCCUGAAGGGGAAAGUGGGGGAUCUUCGGACCUCACGCUAUCAGAUGAGCCUAGGUCGGAUUAGCUAGUUGGUGGGGUAAAGGCCUACCAAGGCGACGAUCCGUAACUGGUCUGAGAGGAUGAUCAGUCACACUGGAACUGAGACACGGUCCAGACUCCUACGGGAGGCAGCAGUGGGGAAUAUUGGACAAUGGGCGAAAGCCUGAUCCAGCCAUGCCGCGUGUGUGAAGAAGGUCUUCGGAUUGUAAAGCACUUUAAGUUGGGAGGAAGGGCAGUAAGUUAAUACCUUGCUGUUUUGACGUUACCAACAGAAUAAGCACCGGCUAACUUCGUG